AGCCAGUUGGCGGUGGUGAGGAUGAGGUAGAGGAGAGAUAUGCCCGCGUGCCCUCACUCCCCUGGCCUCCUAUGGUUCAGGAUUCCUGCCCAAGGUCUUCUUCUCUCUUUCCUCCCCUCCCCAAACGCUGGCCAGAACAAUGUUCUUUCUGGGGGCAGGGGGAAGAAGCCAGAGAUUACCCAGAAUGGAGGAGUUAACCUCCAGGGUGAGGACAGGAUGCUUGCCAGUGACACUGAGAUAGAGGGGGGAAUCCGAACCUGUGACCUUGAUGUUAUAACAAGAUUAGAAAAGAAAAUUGGCAAGUGAGGGAUUGCUAUUGGAGAAAAAAGGAUUACUGACAACAAGAAGAAAUGAUGGUUGUUACUCUGGCAGUGAGAAAAGAGGCAGCAAGAUCUAUUAAAAUUAGAACAGAUGGGGCACAGCUUCUGUAGUUUGCAUUCCAGGAAGGCUUCUGCAAGGAAGAGUCCAAGGUGGAUCUGAUCCCCUCCUUGGAACCCUUGUGUUACAUGUUGCUGCUUCUGGAGCAAAGCAGUUGGCAACUGUCACCCUCAGUUUUCUCUGCUUCCCCGUCCCCCCUCAAUGUUUUCCCUUACCGGGCGCCGGAUAAAGAACAUUGACACAGCUCCCACGAUGGGAAGGUCCCCAAUGAGUGGCUCAAGAAUCACUCGCAAGAUGCCAUGUAUCUGGGACAAGAAGAGAAGAUCAAGGCCUUUCCCCAGAAAAGGUCCUCUGUCCUCCCAGAGACUUCCCCAGGCUUGGUUUUUCAACGUGCCACUUCCCAUAUGCCAUGAAACUUAGAGCAAAGACUCCCUAUUAUGUGGGCCCCUGACAUCUGCCCCACCUGCAUGCCCUUGACUCCUGCUUUGCAGAAAUAUUUCUUCACUUCCACAUCAAUCUGCACAUCACCUACAUAGCUGUGAGUUGGUGAAGAAGAGAAUAAAGAGAGUUAGUAUGAGGCUAAAGUGGGGAAUAGGGAUAGUGAAAUAGCCAGGAGUGAUGAGGAUACAUUGAAGGGGAAAGAGGAAGAGUGGUGAGUGACUUUACCUGAUAUUCAAGUCCAGCAGAAUCUGCUCUUUUCUCUGACCAGGGUGAACCUUGACUCCUAUGAUACGCAAUGGCUGGAAAGAGAUGAAUUCUUGAGGGAGGAAGAACAGGAAGGAGUACCUCAGCCCCCUCUGAGCCACCCACCCUCCCUGUCCCAUCUCCUUCCUUUCAGUACUUUCCUUUCUGCACACAUACCUUUUCACCCAGUUCCACUCGUGUAAAUGUAAAUGUUUGCAGGUGGGGGUUAGAUCCCCGAAUAGCCGGGGCCACAGUUUCAGCCAGAAGCUUCUCCAUAUACUGGCCAAGGAAGGGCCAGACCUGGGCCACAAUCUGGGAGGAAAGGGAGAUGGUCAUAGGAGAGCCCAAUCUUUUCUCUAAAGGCAAGUGCCUUCAGAAUCUUCCCCACAGAGAGCAUUGGGGACUAGGCUGGGGUUAGAAUUGAGGUGUUACAGGGUCCAGUAAGAAGAAAAACCCCCCAUUCUCUCGUUAUGAAAAAUAAAAACCAGAACAAUUAAUUCUCA
Molecule: long non-coding RNA, 1565 nt
Organism: Cynocephalus volans (Philippine flying lemur)
Lineage: Eukaryota; Metazoa; Chordata; Mammalia; Dermoptera; Cynocephalidae
Exons: 5
Source: RefSeq, a predicted model, not a curated record